GACGAACGCUGGCGGCGUGCUUAACACAUGCAAGUCGAACGGAAAGGCCCUGCUUUUGUGGGGUGCUCGAGUGGCGAACGGGUGAGUAACACGUGAGUAACCUGCCCUUGACUUUGGGAUAACUUCAGGAAACUGGGGCUAAUACCGGAUAGGAGCUCCUGCUGCAUGGUGGGGGUUGGAAAGUUUCGGCGGUUGGGGAUGGACUCGCGGCUUAUCAGCUUGUUGGUGGGGUAGUGGCUUACCAAGGCUUUGACGGGUAGCCGGCCUGAGAGGGUGACCGGCCACAUUGGGACUGAGAUACGGCCCAGACUCCUACGGGAGGCAGCAGUGGGGAAUAUUGCACAAUGGGCGGGAGCCUGAUGCAGCAACGCCGCGUGCGGGAUGACGGCCUUCGGGUUGUAAACCGCUUUCGCCUGUGACGAAGCGUGAGUGACGGUAAUGGGUAAAGAAGCACCGGCUAACUACGUGCCAGCAGCCGCGGUGAUACGUAGGGUGCGAGCGUUGUCCGGAUUUAUUGGGCGUAAGGGCUCGUAGGUGGUUGAUCGCGUCGGAAGUGUAAUCUUGGGGCUUAACCCUGAGCGUGCUUUCGAUACGGGUUGACUUGAGGAAGGUAGGGGAGAAUGGAAUUCCUGGUGGAGCGGUGGAAUGCGCAGAUAUCAGGAGGAACACCAGUGGCGAAGGCGGUUCUCUGGGCCUUUCCUGACGCUGAGGAGCGAAAGCGUGGGGAGCGAACAGGCUUAGAUACCCUGGUAGUCCACGCUGUAAACGGUGGGUACUAGGUGUGGGGUCCAUUCCACGGGUUCCGUGCCGUAGCUAACGCUUUAAGUACCCCGCCUGGGGAGUACGGCCGCAAGGCUAAAACUCAAAGGAAUUGACGGGGCCCCGCACAAGCGGCGGAGCAUGCGGAUUAAUUCGAUGCAACGCGUAGAACCUUACCUGGGUUUGACAUGGAUCGGGAGUGCUCAGAGAUGGGUGUGCCUCUUUUGGGGUCGGUUCACAGGUGGUGCAUGGCUGUCGUCAGCUCGUGUCGUGAGAUGUUGGGUUAAGUCCCGCAACGAGCGCAACCCUUGUUCACUGUUGCCAGCACGUUAUGGUGGGGACUCAGUGGAGACCGCCGGGGUCAACUCGGAGGAAGGUGGGGAUGACGUCAAGUCAUCAUGCCCCUUAUGUCCAGGGCUUCACGCAUGCUACAAUGGCUGGUACAGAGAGUGGCGAGCCUGUGAGGGUGAGCGAAUCUCGGAAAGCCGGUCUCAGUUCGGAUUGGGGUCUGCAACUCGACCUCAUGAAGUCGGAGUCGCUAGUAAUCGCAGAUCAGCAACGCUGCGGUGAAUACGUUCCCGGGGCU
This 1345-nucleotide ribosomal RNA is filed under the name uncultured bacterium. RNAcentral describes it as "partial 16S ribosomal RNA". It matches the Rfam family "Bacterial small subunit ribosomal RNA", at positions 28 to 1381 of the family's 1533-position model. The record is from RNAcentral.